CGGGGUGCACCAGGCGCGAAAACUUUACAAUGCUGGAAACAGCGAUAAGGGGACCUCGAGUGCCAGGUUACAAAUCUGGCUGUCGUGAUGCCUAAAAAGCAUUGCAUAGCAAGGGCCGGGCAAGACCGGUGCCAGCCGCCGCGGUAACACCGGCGGCUCGAGUGGUAACCGUUAUUAUUGGGUCUAAAGGGUCUGUAGCCGGCCAGAUAAGUCUCUUGGGAAAUCCAGCAGCUCAACUGUUGGGCUUUCAGGAGAUACUGUCUGGCUCGAGGCCGGGAGAGGUGAGAGGUACUUCAGGGGUAGGGGUGAAAUCUUGUAAUCCUUGAAGGACCACCAGUGGCGAAGGCGUCUCACCAGAACGGACCUGACGGCAAGGGACGAAAGCUAGGGGCACGAACCGGAUUAGAUACCCGGGUAGUCCUAGCCGUAAACGAUACUCGCUAGGUGUCGGCCACGGUGCGACCGUUGUCGGUGCCGUAGGGAAGCCGUGAAGCGAGCCACCUGGGAAGUACGGCCGCAAGGCUGAAACUUAAAGGAAUUGGCGGGGGAGCACAAGGGCGAUUCGCG
This 567-nucleotide ribosomal RNA is filed under the name uncultured archaeon. Its description in RNAcentral is "bacterial SSU rRNA". It matches the Rfam family "Archaeal small subunit ribosomal RNA", at positions 326 to 897 of the family's 1478-position model. The record is from RNAcentral.